This is a long non-coding RNA of Octodon degus (degu), 393 nucleotides long. RefSeq lists it as uncharacterized. Lineage: Eukaryota; Metazoa; Chordata; Mammalia; Rodentia; Octodontidae. The record is from RefSeq and is a predicted model, not a curated record. The transcript has 3 exons.
CCUGGAUGUGACUGAAUAAUCUGGAGGUCCCACCCGCUCCCCAAAGCCCCAAGAAGCUAGGGUUCAGGACCUGGGGCAGCAGCAGGGUGGCAGACGAAGCACCACAGACUGGGGAUUCCUGCAGAGCCACAGCCCUGUCUUCCUGGCCUCUGUUGUCACCCUGGCCACUGAGGUCCACUGGGGACUCCUGCAGGCUUCGAGGCUCUCAGAAAGCUCUUUAAGGCCUUACCGCCUUCAUGACUCCCCAAGAGGAAGCUGGCCCCCAGCCACCACUCUGGUCCUCCCUGCGAUCACAUGAGGUGUGUCCACUUAGCUAACAUCCGCCUCAACCGAGAUCAGAGACGGAAGACGAGGGCUCAAGUGUGGCCAGGAACAGACCCAUGUCAGCGACAC